This 301-nucleotide ribosomal RNA is filed under the name uncultured bacterium. RNAcentral's name for it is "partial 16S ribosomal RNA". It matches the Rfam family "Bacterial small subunit ribosomal RNA", at positions 509 to 807 of the family's 1533-position model. The record is from RNAcentral.
CAGUAGCCGCGGUAACACGAAGGGUGUAAGCGUUAAUCGGAAUUACUGGGCGUAAAGGGUGCGUAGGCGGUUGUUUAAGUCUGUUGUGAAAUCCCCGAGCCUAACUUGGGAACUGCAUUUGAAACUGGCAAGCUAGAGUCUUGUAGAGGGGGGUAGAAUUCCAGGUGUAGCGGUGAAAUGCGUAGAGAUCGGGAGGAACAUCAGUGGCGAAGGCGGCUCACUGGCUCGAUACUGACGCUGAGGUGCGAAAGCGUGGGGAGCAAACGGGAUUAGAUACCCCCGUAGUCCCUGUCUCUUAUAC